CGUCUAUAUACGUAUAGCAUAUCAAUAAGCGGAGGAAAAGAAACUAACAAGGAUUCCCUUAGUAACGGCGAGUGAAGCGGGAAGAGCUCAAAUUUGAAAUCUUCAAGGUUCUACCUUGACGAAUUGUAGUUUAAAGAAGUGUUUUCUGUUAGAGGAGUAGCAAGAGUUCCUUGGAAUGGGACAUCAUAGAGGGUGAGAAUCCCGUAUUUGGUUAUUCUUUCUAGCUUUGUGAUACACUUUCAAAGAGUCGGAUUGUUUGGGAAUGCAGUCCAAAAUGGGUGGUAAAUUUCAUCUAAAGCUAAAUAUUGGCGAGAGACCGAUAGCGAACAAGUACCGUGAGGGAAAGAUGAAAAGAACUUUGAAAAGAGAGUUAAACAGUACGUGAAAUUGUCAAAAGGGAAGCGUUUGACACCAGUGUUGUUUUUCUCGAAAAUCAAUUAAAAAGUGGCUUGAUUUUGUGUUGUAUUGACCUUAAUCAGCUUUCUUCACUCUUUUUCCUAGUCCUGUGCUUAAUGCACUUUUCGGUUAACAAGUCAACAUCAAUUUCUUUUGUUGUAAAAGGGUAUUUGGAAGGUGGCUUUCUUUUCGGAGAAAGUGUUUAUAGCCUUAUGACCUUCUAGCAAUCGGAGAGAUUGAGGUCUGCAGCGUAGAUCCUUCGGGGCUAGAUACACUUGUGCUAAGUUAUAGCUUUUCAUAGACAACUUGUUGACUAUGUUUAGUCAUGUAGCUUACCCGCUUGUGCUAUUUUACCUACGCUUAGGAUGUUGAGUCAUCACACAUCUCU
This 784-nucleotide ribosomal RNA is filed under the name uncultured Neocallimastigales. RNAcentral's name for it is "partial large subunit ribosomal RNA". It matches the Rfam family "Eukaryotic large subunit ribosomal RNA", at positions 26 to 614 of the family's 3401-position model. Lineage: Eukaryota; Fungi; Neocallimastigomycota; Neocallimastigomycetes; Neocallimastigales. The record is from RNAcentral.